AAAGAAUUAGUUAAAUUAUAACAUUAAUAUGUCAAAUUAAAAUUAUUAUCUUAUUAAUAUUCUUUU
RNAcentral lists this transfer RNA (66 nucleotides) under Quasinarosa fulgens. Its description in RNAcentral is "tRNA-Asp". Lineage: Eukaryota; Metazoa; Arthropoda; Insecta; Lepidoptera; Limacodidae. The record is from RNAcentral.